Molecule: ribosomal RNA, 507 nt
Filed under: uncultured bacterium
Lineage: Bacteria
Description: partial 16S ribosomal RNA
Source: RNAcentral
GGAGUUAGCCGGUGCUUCUUCUGUGAGUGAUGUCCUUCCUGCCGGCUAUUAACCCGCAGGCCUUCUUCCUCACUGAAAGUGCUUUACAACCCGAAGGCCUUCUUCACACACGCGGCAUGGCUGGAUCAGGGUUGCCCCCAUUGUCCAAUAUUCCCCACUGCUGCCUCCCGUAGGAGUCUGGGCCGUGUCUCAGUCCCAGUGUGGCUGAUCAUCCUCUCAGACCAGCUACGGAUCGUCGCCUUGGUGAGCCGUUACCUCACCAACCAGCUAAUCCGACAUAGGCUCAUCCGAUAGCGCGAGGCCCGAAGGUCCCCCGCUUUCCCCCGUAGGGCGUAUGCGGUAUUAGCCUGGGUUUCCCCAGGUUAUCCACCACUACCGGGCAGAUUCCUAUGCAUUACUCACCCGUCCGCCGCUCGCCACCAGGGAGCAAGCUCCCCGUGCUGCCGCUCGACUUGCAUGUGUUAGGCCUGCCGCCAGCGUUCAAUCUGAGCANGANACAACUACUGA